AGUUGGACCCUUCGCAAUAGAAACUUAUGAACCCCGUCAGGUCAGGAAUGAAGCAGCGGUAAGUAGGAUCUUCUAUGUGCCGGAGGAUUAUCUGAUUUGA
RNAcentral lists this signal recognition particle RNA (100 nucleotides) under Acetobacterium wieringae. RNAcentral's name for it is "Bacteria_small_SRP". It matches the Rfam family "Bacterial small signal recognition particle RNA". From Rfam's summary of the family: The signal recognition particle (SRP) is a universally conserved ribonucleoprotein involved in the co-translational targeting of proteins to membranes. Archaeal SRP consists of a 7S RNA and homologues of the eukaryotic SRP19 and SRP54 proteins. In most bacteria, the SRP consists of a 4.5S RNA and the Ffh protein (a homologue of the eukaryotic SRP54 protein). The record is from RNAcentral. Lineage: Bacteria; Bacillati; Bacillota; Clostridia; Eubacteriales; Eubacteriaceae.